CCCUUAGAUGCUCUGGGCUGCACGCGCGCUACAAUGGUGCAUUCAGCGAGUUUAACCUUGCUUGAAAAAGCUGGGUAAUCUUUAAAAUGCAUCUCAGUUGGGAUAGAUGAUUGCAAUUGUUCAUCUUGAACAAGGAAUAUCUAGUAAACGCAAGUCAUCAACUUGCAUUGAUUACGUCCCUGCCCUUUGUUCACACCGCCCGUCGCUCCUACCGAUUGAAUGUGUUGGUGAGGAGCUCGGAUUGGCAGCAGUUGGUGGUUCGCCACCGGCUAUUGCUGAGAAGUCCUCCAAACCGCCCCAUUUAGAGGAAGGAGAAGUCGUAACA
RNAcentral lists this ribosomal RNA (325 nucleotides) under uncultured eukaryote. Its description in RNAcentral is "partial 18S ribosomal RNA". It matches the Rfam family "Eukaryotic small subunit ribosomal RNA", at positions 1470 to 1796 of the family's 1831-position model. The record is from RNAcentral.